Molecule: ribosomal RNA, 478 nt
Filed under: uncultured bacterium
Lineage: Bacteria
Description: partial 16S ribosomal RNA
Rfam family: Bacterial small subunit ribosomal RNA
Source: RNAcentral
AACAAACGCUGGCGGCGUGCCUAAUACAUGCAAGUCGAACGGGGAAAGCUUUCGGGUGAGUACUAGUGGCGCACGGGUGAGUAACGCGUGGAUAAUCUGCCUUAGAGUGGGGGAUAACUAGUCGAAAGAUUAGCUAAUACCGCAUAAGACCACAAGAACUGCGGUUCAAGAGGUCAAAGGUUUUUCGCUCUAAGAUGAGGCCGCGUAAGAUUAGCUAGUUGGUGAGGUAACGGCUCACCAAGGCAACGAUCUUUAACUGGUCUGAGAGGAAGAUCAGUCACACUGGAACUGAGACACGGUCCAGAGUCCUACGGGAGGCAGCAGUAGGGAAUAUUGCACAAUGGAGGAAACUCUGAUGCAGCGACGCCGCGUGAGUGAUAAAGGCCUUCGGGUCGUAAAGCUCUGUCGCAGGGGAAUAACACAAUGAAUGUACCCUGUAAGAAAGGAUCGGCUAACUUCGUGCCAGCCGCCGCGGUAA